This 253-nucleotide ribosomal RNA is filed under the name uncultured bacterium. RNAcentral describes it as "partial 16S ribosomal RNA". It matches the Rfam family "Bacterial small subunit ribosomal RNA", at positions 524 to 776 of the family's 1533-position model. The record is from RNAcentral.
UACAGAGGGCUCAAGCGUUGUUCGGAUUCAUUGGGCGUAAAGGGUGCGUAGGCGGCGCGGUAAGUCGGGUGUGAAAUCUCGGAGCUUAACUCCGAAACUGCAUUCGAUACUGCCGUGCUUGAGGACUGGAGAGGAGACUGGAAUUUACGGUGUAGCGGUGGAAUGCGUAGAUAUCGUAAGGAAGACCAGUGGCGAAGGCGGGUCUCUGGACAGUUCCUGACGCUGAGGCACGAAGGUCAGGGGAGCAAACGGG